RNAcentral lists this ribosomal RNA (501 nucleotides) under uncultured bacterium. RNAcentral describes it as "partial 16S ribosomal RNA". It matches the Rfam family "Bacterial small subunit ribosomal RNA", at positions 30 to 523 of the family's 1533-position model. The record is from RNAcentral.
AUUGAACGCUGGCGGCAUGCCUUACACAUGCAAGUCGAACGGCAGCACGGGUGCUUGCACCUGGUGGCGAGUGGCGAACGGGUGAGUAAUAUAUCGGAACGUACCUUAUUGUGGGGGAUAACGCAGCGAAAGCUGUGCUAAUACCGCAUAAUCCCUUAGGGGGAAAGCGGGGGACCGUAAGGCCUCGCGCAAUUAGAGCGGCCGAUACCUGAUUAGCUAGUUGGUGAGGUAAAGGCUCACCAAGGCGACGAUCAGUAGCUGGUCUGAGAGGACGAUCAGCCACACUGGGACUGAGACACGGCCGAGACUCCUACGGGGGGCAGCAGUGGGGAAUUUUGGACAAGGGGGGCAACCCUGAUCCAGCAAUGCCGCGUGAGUGAAGAAGGCCUUCGGGUUGUAAAGCUCUUUUGUCAGGGAAGAAACAGCAGCUCUAACACAGUAUGCGAAUGACGGUACCUGAAGAAUAAGCACCGGCUAACUACGUGCCAGCAGCCGCCGUAA